CCCCUCAGCCUCCUCCGCGCGGUUACCCCUGUACCCGCCGCCAUCCGUCCUGGCGCUCCGGAUGAGUCAAUGAGGGGCAGGGCCCGAGGAGUGGUCUUCCCAAGAACCCCUGGUGGCCUCCCAAGGCCGGUGCUGUGUACCUCCUCCCCGACAAAAGGGGAAACUGAGGCCCCGAGGGGAGUGGGAAGAGCCGGCUGGACGUCAGGCCCAGCCGCUGGUGCAGUGGUCCGUCCCCUCCGCCGGGGUGGGCCCCUCGGGUUUCGCGUGUCCUCGGGAAAGAGACUGGCGGGCCUCGUGGGCUGUGCGGCUAUCCUGGAGACAGAUGACAGCUCUCCCUUGGAUGGCUUUGCUGGUUCCGCACCAGCCAGCGCCCCUAUUUUUCCUGCAGCACCCUGAUCUGCACUCCCUGAGGGGCUCCCACUGUCCGCGGUGUGAGGAUGUCCCUGGAUAUUGGUCUUCUGUGACUUUCUUGAUGGGGGCAGAUGAGAUCUUUGUACUGCAUUAAGUGGAUAGCGCUCAGGUCCUUUGGGCUUGGCGCUUUGGCAAUCUCCAGGCAGCUCACUUUGGCAUCUGUUCCUGGAUCCCCUUUGCUCUUUUCUGCGCCUGCAUUCAUAGUCCACUGUGUGCAGAGGCAUGGGAGUUGUCAUGUCGAGAACAUGCUAGACCUCAGUGUCCUUGAGGGAUGCCGCCUUGGGUCUGGAAAUUGUUAGAGGAAACCCCAAGAGGUGCAGGCACUGAGCCUCUCAGGACAAUGACCUGGGGUCCCAGCUCCCCUGGAGGGGCCUCCUCAUGAUUGUUUGGGGCUUGAUCACAGACCAAGAGUGACGAGUGAUGUCACCCUGUGACUCAUGGCCGGACCUUCUUGCCCCUAUUGUCUCAGCACAACAUUAUUUGACUUUUCCCUCAGCGUGGGUGGGCAGAGGAAAAGCCCUGUGGCUCUGGGGACUUGGGAUCCGGAGUUGAAGACCCUUCAGCUGGCUCUGCCCUGCCAGUGCCACAGAGUGCCAUGGCCCAGGAAGACAGGUUUUCUUCCAUCUAGGCCAGGCCAUCCAGUGGCCAUCCUCCGUGUCCUCCCGCCUCCUCCUGGUGUGACUUCUGAAAACCAAGAAUUUGUUCCUGUUGACUUUUUCUGUGCUAUGGACCAUUGUCCUCUCACCCACUCAAUAAAUCUUGAAACAUGC
This 1181-nucleotide long non-coding RNA is filed under the name Pan troglodytes (chimpanzee). Its description in RNAcentral is "lincRNA". The record is from RNAcentral. Lineage: Eukaryota; Metazoa; Chordata; Mammalia; Primates; Hominidae.